CAGUCGCCGCGGGAAUACGAAGGGGGCUAGCGUUGCUCGGAAUGACUGGGCGUAAAGGGCGCGUAGGCGGUCACGAUAGUCAGAUGUGAAAUUCCUGGGCUUAACCUGGGGACUGCAUUUGAUACUGUGUGGCUUGAGUGUGGAAGAGGGUCGUGGAAUUCCCAGUGUAGAGGUGAAAUUCGUAGAUAUUGGGAAGAACACCGGUGGCGAAGGCGGCGACCUGGUCCAUAACUGACGCUGAGGCGCGAAAGCGUGGGGAGCAAACAGGAUUAGAUACCCCCGUAGUCCCUGUCUCUUAUAC
RNAcentral lists this ribosomal RNA (301 nucleotides) under uncultured bacterium. RNAcentral's name for it is "partial 16S ribosomal RNA". It matches the Rfam family "Bacterial small subunit ribosomal RNA", at positions 509 to 807 of the family's 1533-position model. The record is from RNAcentral.